This 310-nucleotide unclassified non-coding RNA is filed under the name plant metagenome. RNAcentral's name for it is "partial contains 5.8S ribosomal RNA, internal transcribed spacer 2, and large subunit ribosomal RNA". The stretch from base 1 to 105 matches the Rfam family "5.8S ribosomal RNA", at positions 50 to 154 of the family's 154-position model. The record is from RNAcentral.
GAAAUGCGAUAAGUAGUGUGAAUUGCAGAAUUCAGUGAAUCAUCGAAUCUUUGAACGCACAUUGCGCCCCUUGGUAUUCCAUGGGGCAUGCCUGUUCGAGCGUCAUUUGUACCCUCAAGCUCUGCUUGGUGUUGGGUGUUUGUCCCCAUCUCCGCGCGUGGACUCGCCCCAAAGUGAUUGGCAGCCGGCGUACUGGUCCCGGAGCGCAGCACAUGUCGCGCAAACGAGUGCCUUGGUACGGCGGCGUCCAUAAGCCCCUCUCUCACGCUCUUGACCUCGGAUCAGGUAGGGAUACCCGCUGAACUUAAGC